Molecule: ribosomal RNA, 88 nt
Filed under: Vreelandella titanicae
Lineage: Bacteria; Pseudomonadati; Pseudomonadota; Gammaproteobacteria; Oceanospirillales; Halomonadaceae
Source: RNAcentral
CUGAUCCCUUGCCGAACUCAGAAGUGAAACCGCUUAGCGCCGAUGGUAGUGUGGGGUCUCCCCAUGCGAGAGUAGGUCAUCGUCAGGC